UACGUAGGGGGCAAGCGUUGUCCGGAUUUAUUGGGCGUAAAGAGCGUGUAGGCGGCUCGGUAGGUCUGUUGUGAAAACUCGAGGCUCAACCUCGAGACGUCGAUGGAAACCAUCUAGCUAGAGUCCGGAAGAGGAGAGUGGAAUUCCUGGUGUAGCGGUGAAAUGCGCAGAUAUCAGGAAGAACACCCGUGGCGAAGGCGGCUCUCUGGUACGUGACUGACGCUGAGACGCGAAAGCGUGGGGAGCGAACAGG
RNAcentral lists this ribosomal RNA (253 nucleotides) under uncultured bacterium. RNAcentral's name for it is "partial 16S ribosomal RNA". It matches the Rfam family "Bacterial small subunit ribosomal RNA", at positions 524 to 776 of the family's 1533-position model. The record is from RNAcentral.